This 837-nucleotide ribosomal RNA is filed under the name uncultured bacterium. RNAcentral's name for it is "bacterial SSU rRNA". It matches the Rfam family "Bacterial small subunit ribosomal RNA", at positions 9 to 850 of the family's 1533-position model. The record is from RNAcentral.
GAGUUUGAUCCUGGCUCAGGACGAACGCUGGCGGCGUGCCUAAGACAUGCAAGUCGAACGAGGUCCAACCAGUGGCAACACUGGAGACGACCUAGUGGCGAACGGGUGAGUAACACGUGAGGAACCUGCCCCGAAGACCGGGAUAACUCUCCGAAAGGAGUGCUAAUACCGGAUGUCCCCAGGAGGUCGCAUGGCCACCAGAGGAAAUGCUUUUGCGCUUCGGGAGGGCCUCGCGGCCUAUCAGCUUGUUGGCGGGGUAACGGCCCACCAAGGCAUCGACGGGUAGCUGGUCUGAGAGGACGAUCAGCCACACUGGGACUGAGACACGGCCCAGACUCCUACGGGAGGCAGCAGUUAGGAAUCUUGCGCAGUGGGCGAAAGCCUGACGCAGCAACGCCGCGUGGGGGAUGAAGGCCUUCGGGUCGUAAACCCCUUUCAGUGGGGACGAAAAUGACGGUACCCACAGAAGAAGCCCCGGCCAACUACGUGCCAGCAGCCGCGGUAACACGUAGGGGGCAAGCGUUGUCCGGAUUUAUUGGGCGUAAAGGGCUCGUAGGCGGUUCGGCAAGUCGGGUGUGAAACCUCCAGGCUCAACCUGGAGUCGCCACCCGAAACUGCCGUGACUUGAGUCCGGUAGGGGAGCAUGGAAUUCCUGGUGUAGCGGUGGAAUGCGCAGAUAUCAGGAGGAACACCAGUGGCGAAGGCGAUGCUCUGGGCCGGUACUGACGCUGAGGAGCGAAAGCAUGGGGAGCGAACAGGAUUAGAUACCCUGGUAGUCCAUGCCGUAAACGUUUGGGCACUAGGUGUGGGAACCCUCUCAACGGGUUCCGCGCCGUA